UGUAUUCACUACUGUAAGUCGCUCUGGAUAAGAGUGUCUGCUAAAUGACGUAAA
This is a non-coding RNA of Salmo salar (Atlantic salmon), 54 nucleotides long. The record is from Rfam. NCBI's taxonomy places the organism in Eukaryota, Metazoa, Chordata, Actinopteri, Salmoniformes, Salmonidae.